AAAUUAGACAACAUUGCGGGAUUAAAAUGGGAACAUUUGCAAAAAAGAAUAAAUUGAAUAGUAGUUCCAAGUGGUUUACAUGAGGACAAAAAAUUAGACCGUAGUUUUAUGCUG
This 114-nucleotide small RNA is filed under the name Ezakiella coagulans. Its description in RNAcentral is "Streptococcus sRNA SpR18". It matches the Rfam family "Streptococcus sRNA SpR18", at positions 16 to 131 of the family's 132-position model. Lineage: Bacteria; Bacillati; Bacillota; Tissierellia. The record is from RNAcentral.